RNAcentral lists this ribosomal RNA (289 nucleotides) under uncultured bacterium. Its description in RNAcentral is "partial 16S ribosomal RNA". It matches the Rfam family "Bacterial small subunit ribosomal RNA", at positions 334 to 619 of the family's 1533-position model. The record is from RNAcentral.
UCAUCCUACGGGGGGCAGCAGUAGGGAAUUUUCGUCAAUGGGCGAGAGCCUGAACCAGCCAAGUCGCGUGAAGGAUGACGGCCCUACGGGUUGUAAACUUCUUUUGUCAGGGAGCAAUUGAGUCCACGUGUGGGCUUAGCGAGAGUACCUGAAGAAAAAGCAUCGGCUAACUCCGUGCCAGCAGCCGCGGUAAUACGGAGGAUGCGAGCGUUAUCCGGAUUUAUUGGGUUUAAAGGGUGCGUAGGCGGAAUAUCAAGUCAGCGGUAAAAAUUCGGGGCUCAACCCCGUC